Molecule: ribosomal RNA, 254 nt
Filed under: uncultured bacterium
Lineage: Bacteria
Description: partial 16S ribosomal RNA
Rfam family: Bacterial small subunit ribosomal RNA
Source: RNAcentral
GACAGAGGGUGCAAACGUUGUUCGGAAUUACUGGGCGUAAAGCGUGUGUAGGCGGUCUCAUAAGUCGGAUGUGAAAGCCCCGGGCUCAACCCGGGAAGUGCACUCGAAACUGCGAGGCUAGAGUAUCGGAGAGGUUGGUGGAAUUCUCGGUGUAGAGGUGAAAUGCGUAGAUAUCUGGAGGAAUACCGGUGGCGAAGGCGGCAUCCUGGACCGGCAUUGACGCUGAGGGAGCGAAAGCCAGGGGAGCAAACGGG